RNAcentral lists this unclassified non-coding RNA (199 nucleotides) under uncultured fungus. RNAcentral's name for it is "sequence contains ITS1". The record is from RNAcentral. Lineage: Eukaryota; Fungi.
UUAACUAUUAUAUAGUACUCAGACGACAUUAAAUUCAAGGUUUGAUAUCCUCUGGCGGGCACUUACCAGCCGGAGCCGGUAGUCUGACCGAGGCCUGACGGCCCGCCAAAGCAACAAAGGUAACGAUAACAUAGGGUGGAGAUCUACCCGUAAGGGCAUGAACUCUGUAAUGAUCCCUCCGCAGGUUCACCUACGGAGA